Molecule: long non-coding RNA, 2858 nt
Organism: Camelus dromedarius (Arabian camel)
Lineage: Eukaryota; Metazoa; Chordata; Mammalia; Artiodactyla; Camelidae
Exons: 4
Source: RefSeq, a predicted model, not a curated record
GUGAUAAGGAAUUACAAGACCACCCAACAUUGUAAGGACUCAGAAAAGCCUUCUGAGGCCUCAGGGGUGCCCAGAGUUGACGAGGUGAGUGAAGGCAGAUUAUUCCAGGAUGAGGAUAAGCAUGUAUAAAAAGCUUGAAAGUGAAAGUGCACGGUAGUUCCAGAGCACUGCAUGAUUUCCAGUACAGCUGUAGAGUGAAGAAACAGGGGCCUGGCCAGUGGUAAGGCAGAGAAGUGAAAAAAAUCCAGAUAUCACUCUGCUUUCAGUUUGAAGAAUGGAUUAUAAAGGGACAAUGGCAAAAAUGUCUCAAGAAUUUGGUUCGUGUUGUAAGGUUUCUGCAGUGCACGUGGAGAAAGUGCAACUCGAAAAGACAGAAAAGAAUAUGAAGAAUGUUCAAGUUUCUGUAUCGGAUACUUUGUGGCUCCAUCUGCAACUCUUACUCACUCGCCUCUGUAAUGCACAGCACUGGUCCUUACGCUGAGCAGACAUUCUGGGGAUGAUCUGCGAAAGGAGAAGAACAGAAUAUUGCAGACUUUGGCAUAAGAUUCCAGGCUCCUUGAGGCCACAGUAUCGGACCUGGAAGCAAUGAGAAAUUCAGCUUCCUCACUGGAAGGAAUAUUCCAGUAUUCCUUACUGGAAUGAAAAAACUCUGGCACCAUCAGGAAAGAUAAUUGGCCUGAUAUUAGGAAGAGAAAACUUGUCCUUUAACAAUUAGAGCUUGAAUUGAAGGGAGUGAUAAACUUAAUCCUCAUUAUUUGACAAAGCAAGAGAGCAGUACUGAAGAUACCUCAUAAGCUAGAUAAACAUUCGUUCUAUGACUGUAUAAUUCUGUAGGUGCCUCAUUUUAUGUGCUUUGUAGUAUCCAUUUACAAAUUUGAUUCUCUGCAGUAAAAUAGUUUCCUAGACAAAAUGCCUUUGAAUAUACUGCAGCCAAAUAGAGAUUUUAGAAUACCUGAGCAUCUGCAAUAUAUUUACUGCAGGUGUUGCAGCGAUGAGAUAUAUAUAUAUAUAUGUAAGAUGAUUUUUAAAAUAAGACAUUUUGAAGAUUACUGAAAAUGGCAAUGGAACAGAUAGCUUAAUUCAAUAUACUAUCAAAAUUUAUAGAAAUUAAUUAUUAUAGGCUGUCUCGGAGUAGGGUGAGAAUACUUUAUCAUGUACCAGGGGAGGAAUCUGAGUUGGCUCCUGAAAUGUGGUUCAGAUUUACAUUGGUUGAGGAGAAUGGAGACCCCAGUGGGCGUGUUAAAGGAGGAAGACUAAACGUAUGUUCAGAGAAUGUGGCUGAAACUAUCAGCCUGAGAGGGACAGCAUAUUUUAGAGUCUAAGGGCUCUGAAAAAGCUAAUUUAGUCUUCAUUUUUGAAAACCUUGAAUGUCAGGCAAAGAGUGCAAUUUACCCUGUAGGCAAGAGAAAAUCACAUUUUGAGCAGGGUCAUGAUGUGAUAGAAGAUGCAUUUUAGGAAUAUUGACAUAUCAGAAGUAUGAAAAAUGAAUUGCAAGAUGGAAAGAGAAUGGUUCUAGAAGAAGGAUGGUUCUUCAAGAAGAAUGGAAGCUAUCCUCGAAGGGAAUUUAGCCUGCACAGGAAUAAUAAAAUGCCUUUUUAGAAACUGCUGAAUACCAUUCGGGCAUGCAGUAAAGUGGAAAGUAAAGAAUUAGGAACUGAUCCUAAAUUUUUAUUAUUGAUAAGACUGAGUCACUAAAUAUUUUGGGAAAAGUAAAGGAGUCACAGCACUCUACUGAUAAUAAUAAAAUUAAAUUAGGGUCAUUUUAUCUCAGAAAUACAUAAUUAUUCUUUAAAAUUAAAAACUACAGUUUUAGUAAUGUAUUUUAUUAUAUCCCAAGUUAAACUAUAUAUAUAUAUAGCUGGAAAAAUAUAAAGAUAGAUCUGAAUAUAUUUUACCUUUGAAGGGGUCCAUAUUGCUUCUAUAUUUAAUAUAGAUAGAUAUAUUUUCAGUAAUUUGUAUGGUUUCAAGAAAGAAAACAUUAUAAUCUCUGUGUUGAGGGAAAAAGUAUCUGAUAUUUUUUCAAUAUUAAAAAAUAUAUUCCUCAAUGAAAUGAAGAAUAUUUUCUUGAGAAAAUAUAAUAGACUUUUUAAUUUGAGGUAAAAUAUUUCUAAUGUAAUUCAAGGAAGUAGGAGAAAAACUCUCUCGUGAGUAACAGACUUUUCCCUGAGAUCUCCCUGGGAUUGUCGAAGAUAGGUAAAGAAUGUUAGCCAAGCUUUAUUUAUGGACCAGAAAGCAAACUGCAUUAAAAUAUGUAACAUAGAGUCUUGAGACUCUAACGACGUUUAUGUCAGUGCAUAUGUCACAUUUCUCUCUCUUGAAUUCAAGCUAAAUCUUUCCCAGUACCACUGUCAAACUUGCCUUAUCAUGAUUUCCAUAAUAUACAGGAGAUUCUAAGAGCGCAAAUUACAUCAAAAUACACUUGUGUAUAAUGUACUAAAACGGGAGCCCAGAAUUCGUAAUAAAGCCACCAGUAGUCAACCUUAUGCAUAAUUCAGGAAUGUCUUCUCCUUCUAUAAACAUUUUUUUCCCCUUCAGUUGAGUCCUCUGAUUCCUUCAUGGUCCAUUUCUGCUGUGGUUGCUCUUGAUUUCCACGUCAAACUUGUAAUUACUUGGGUAUCUUUUUUUUUUUUUUUGCUAAAAUUUGUUAUACUUGGUAUACAUGUUAAUCCUAUAAGUCAAUUCUCAGAAUAUACCCUGUACAGUCAUUAUGCAUGAUGUUUAUGAUUUUGGUUCAAAAACUGCAAUUCAAACACAUAUAUUUUCUCCUUUUGAAAAUUCACAUGGAAAUGAAAGAAUAAAAGAGAGGAAGAUUUUGAUCCAUUGUAAACAGACAUAAAAAUAAACAGUCUAUAAUGAGA